Molecule: transfer RNA, 71 nt
Filed under: Strigamia maritima
Lineage: Eukaryota; Metazoa; Arthropoda; Chilopoda; Geophilomorpha; Linotaeniidae
Rfam family: tRNA
About the family: Transfer RNA (tRNA) molecules are approximately 80 nucleotides in length. Their secondary structure includes four short double-helical elements and three loops (D, anti-codon, and T loops).
Source: Rfam by way of RNAcentral
UUCCAGGUAGCUUAAUGGUAAAGCACCCAACCGCAAUUGGGGGGAUCUGGGUUCAAGUCCCGGUCCGGGCU